GACAGAGGGUGCGAGCGUUGUUCGGAAUCACUGGGCGUAAAGCGCACGUAGGCGGCUUUGCAAGUCAGAAGGUCGAAAGCCUGGAGCUCAACUCCAGAGUUGCCUUUUGAGACUGCAUCGGCUCGAAUCGCGGAGAGGUGAGUGGAAUUCCGAGUGUAGAGGUGAAAUUCGUAGAUAUUCGCAAGAACACCAGUGGCCGGAAGGCGGACUCACUG
This 215-nucleotide ribosomal RNA is filed under the name uncultured bacterium. RNAcentral's name for it is "partial 16S ribosomal RNA". It matches the Rfam family "Bacterial small subunit ribosomal RNA", at positions 524 to 731 of the family's 1533-position model. The record is from RNAcentral.